This 496-nucleotide ribosomal RNA is filed under the name uncultured bacterium. RNAcentral describes it as "partial 16S ribosomal RNA". It matches the Rfam family "Bacterial small subunit ribosomal RNA", at positions 28 to 506 of the family's 1533-position model. The record is from RNAcentral.
GAUGAACGCUGGCGGCGUGCCUAAUACAUGCAAGUCGAGCGAACAGACGAGGAGCUUGCUCCUCUGACGUUAGCGGCGGACGGGUGAGUAACACGUGGAUAACCUACCUAUAAGACUGGGAUAACUUCGGGAAACCGGAGCUAAUACCGGAUAAUAUAUUGAACCGCAUGGUUCAAUAGUGAAAGACGGUUUUGCUGUCACUUAUAGAUGGAUCCGCGCCGCAUUAGCUAGUUGGCAAGGUAACGGCUUACCAAGGCAACGAUGCGUAGCCGACCUGAGAGGGUGAUCGGCCACACUGGAACUGAGACACGGUCCAGACCCCUACGGGAGGCAGCAGUAGGGAAUCUGCCGCAAUGGGCGAAAGCCUGACGGAGCAACGCCGCGUGAGUGAUGAAGGUCUUCGGAUCGUAAAACUCUGUUAUUAGGGAAGAACAAAUGUGUAAGUAACGAUGCACGUCUGGACGGUACCUAAGCAGAAAGCCACGGCUAACUACGG